RNAcentral lists this long non-coding RNA (904 nucleotides) under Numida meleagris (helmeted guineafowl). RNAcentral describes it as "lncRNA (ENSNMEG00000003821.1)". The record is from RNAcentral. Lineage: Eukaryota; Metazoa; Chordata; Aves; Galliformes; Numididae.
GCGUGUGCCAGCAGCAGGAGGUCGGCGUUGUCGAAGAGGGCGGCGUGGGGACCCUCGGCCAGCGCCAGGUACGCGCCCCCCAGCGCCGCCCCCAGCAGCAGCUUCCCCGCGCUGCUCAGCUGCAGGAAGGCGGCGGCGGCCAGCAGGCUGAGCACCACGCUGAGCGUCACGUACUGCGGGCACGGGGGGGGGAAAGGGGGGGGACACGGCGCCGUGAGGACCCACACCGAUGGGGACCCCACGGCAGCGCCCUAUGGGCCUGGGGACAUCGCCCCUGCGGGGACCCCGUGGCAGCACCCAGAGGAAGCCAGCCCCCUGGGGACCCCAUGGCAGCACCCAUGGGAACCUCAUCUCCCUUGGGACCCCAUGGCAGCGCCCUAUGGGCCUGGGGACAUCGCCUCUGCGGGGACCCCGUGGCAGCACCCAUAUGAACCUGACCUCCCUGGGGACCCCAUGGCAGCGCCCUAUGGGCCUGGUGACACUGCACCUUUCAGGACCCCAUGGCAGCACCUAUAGGAACCCAGCCCCCUGGGGACCCCAUGGCAGCACCCAUAGGAUCCUCAUCUCCCCAUGAGUUCCUCCCCAUCUUGGGACCCCAUGGCAGCACCCUAUGGGCCUGGGGACACUGCACCUUUCAGGACCCUAUGGCAGCACCUGUAGGAACCUGACCUCUCCGGGGACCCCAUGGCAGCACCCAUAGGAACCCAGCCCCCUGGGGACCCUAUGGUGGGACCUAUAGGAACCUGACCUCCCUGGGGACCCCAUGGCAGCGCCCUAUGGGAACCCAGCCCCCCAGGGACCCCAUGGCAGCACCCAUGGGAACCUCAUCUCCCUGGGGACCCCACGGCAGCGCCCUAUGGCCCUGGGGACGCUGCACCUUUCAGGACCCUACAGCAUCCCCUUU